RNAcentral lists this small nuclear RNA (107 nucleotides) under Cervus hanglu yarkandensis (Yarkand deer). Lineage: Eukaryota; Metazoa; Chordata; Mammalia; Artiodactyla; Cervidae. The record is from RNAcentral.
GUGCUCGCUUCGGCAGCACAUAUACUAAAAUUGGAAUGAUACAGAGAAAAGCAGCAUGGCCCCUGCGCAAGGAUGACACGCAAAUUCGUGAAGCGUUCCACAUUUUC